AUUUUGCUGACAUCACUGAAAAGGGUGUAACAUUUCAGUCUCCAGUGGAUGGAAAGUCAAUGCUCCUUACACCAGAGGAGUCUAAUCAAAUCCAAAAUAGAAUUGGAGCAGAUAUCAUAAUGGCCCUUGAUGAUGUGGUGAAAACUACUACUACUGGUCCACGAAUUGAGGAGGCCAUGUAUCGUACCCUUCGUUGGAUAGACAGAUGCAUAGCUGGUAGUUAUCGUUAAGAUUGAACAUUA
Long non-coding RNA from Hibiscus syriacus, 242 nucleotides. RefSeq lists it as uncharacterized. NCBI's taxonomy places the organism in Eukaryota, Viridiplantae, Streptophyta, Magnoliopsida, Malvales, Malvaceae. The record is from RefSeq and is a predicted model, not a curated record. The transcript has 3 exons.